CCUACGGGUGGCUGCAGUGGGUGAUAUUGCACAAUGGAGGAACCUCUGAUGCAGCGACGCCGCGUGAGGGAAGACGGUCUUCGGAUUGUAAACCUCUGUCUUUGGGGAAGAAAAUGACGGUACCCACAGAGGCCGCUCCGGCUAACUACGUGCCAGCAGCCGCGGUAAUACGUAGGGAGCGAGCGUUGUCCUGAAUUACUGGGAGUAAAGGGAGCGUAGGCGGGCGAGAAAGUUGAAUGUUAAAUCUACCGGCUUAACUGGUAGCUGCGGUCAAAAAUUCUUGUCUGGAGUGAAGUAGAGGCAGGCGGAAUUCCUAGUGUAGCGGUGAAAUGCGUAGAUAUUAGGAGGAACACCAGUGGCGAAGGCGGCCUGCUGGGCUUUAACUGACGCUGAGGCUCGAAAGCGUGGGGAGCAAACAGGAUUAGAUACCCGUGUAGUC
Molecule: ribosomal RNA, 439 nt
Filed under: uncultured bacterium
Lineage: Bacteria
Description: partial 16S ribosomal RNA
Rfam family: Bacterial small subunit ribosomal RNA
Source: RNAcentral